GGCGGGCCUCCCCGCAUUACAAGGUGGUGAACCUGGUCAGAUCCGGAAGGAAGCAGCCAUAACCAUUUAUUGCAAGUGCCGGGGGUAAGGCUCGCCUCC
This 99-nucleotide signal recognition particle RNA is filed under the name Candidatus Nitrotoga sp. RNAcentral's name for it is "signal recognition particle sRNA small type". It matches the Rfam family "Bacterial small signal recognition particle RNA". Rfam says of the family: The signal recognition particle (SRP) is a universally conserved ribonucleoprotein involved in the co-translational targeting of proteins to membranes. Archaeal SRP consists of a 7S RNA and homologues of the eukaryotic SRP19 and SRP54 proteins. The record is from RNAcentral. Lineage: Bacteria; Pseudomonadati; Pseudomonadota; Betaproteobacteria; Nitrosomonadales; Gallionellaceae. RNAcentral also lists the same sequence under 4 other names.